AUCCUGGAGUAGGGUGCUCAUCAUGCAAGGAUCAACGAAGACUCUAGUCAUUACAAUCGCGCGGAAAGUAAUGAAUAGAGUAUUGCAUCGUUUAAAUAAAUAAAAUAAAAAUCGCGAAGUAGAAGCAACGUUCGUUCGUUAUUAUUAUUCGUUCGUGUUUCGCGUCUUCAAUUUUAGAAACAUAUGUAUUUAAAUUGACUGCGAGCAAAGCAGUCAGUUGUAGAUUUAGAGUUUUUUUCUCAAAAAGUAUUUUUUCUUUUUAAACAGUCGCACAGACUGUUCGCGUAUUAGAGUCAGUGCAUCAUUGAAGAUGGUGAAGAAAUUAGUAUACUUCUUCUAUAGAAGAAUAUUGAUCGUCGUUGAAAUUCUGCUUUUAUUAGUCCAUAAGGAUGUUGAGUUUGCUCAUUUUUUAUCUACCUCUACGUCGACCCAUCUCAAUUUCAACCUCCUAUGGAUCAGCCAUCCUCUAUUCUGAUCUACAACGCGGACGAGUGUUUUGGAGCCAUCGCAGAACUUCUUAAGUAGUGAGCGAAUAAAUUUAAGUCCCUCCGGUGCUCAAUCAUGCCGAGGAUGAAAGAUCCGAAUCGGCACGAGUUACUGGUUGUAAUUGUUUAAAUAAACUAUUGACGAGCACGUAAGUAAUUCCUCUUUUGGAUUUACUCACGGUAAUAUAUUUUUAAUUGCGUGUAUUUUUCAUUGUUUCUCUCUUAUGCAUGCUUAUUUAUAUUAGCUCAGGAUAGGGUCUUCUUGUUUUAACUCGCUAAUAUUAAUAAUUAAUAAUAAGAAAAUACGUGCAUGUUGCGUUUGUUCGGUUUUUUACAAUUUUGACAUAGACAUCGAAUGAUUAAUGUUCGAUCUAUUUCAGUAUUUCGAUGUAUAAUAUACAGAAAAUAGACAAGAAGACAUUCGCGACGGAUAAGUCCCGAACUAUAAGCGACAAAGUAUGAUACUACUGUCGAUUAAUUAGAAUAGUCGCUUGUAGAAAAGGAUUGCCCGAGGUUCUUUGAUUAUUGCUGCAU
Long non-coding RNA from Vespula pensylvanica (western yellowjacket), 1019 nucleotides. RefSeq lists it as uncharacterized. NCBI's taxonomy places the organism in Eukaryota, Metazoa, Arthropoda, Insecta, Hymenoptera, Vespidae. The transcript is spliced from 3 exons. The record is from RefSeq and is a predicted model, not a curated record.